UGCUGGAGGCACGGUCCGGGCGGUGAGCCCUGCGGCCGCGUCCCUGCCCCGGCGCCGUCCGUGCCCGCGGGACCUGACAGCCGGGGCAGAGCGCACGGGCAGGCCCUGGACAACCCCGCUCCUCCUCCCACUCUCCUGGGGACGCGAGACCCGGCCGCGGGGGGCAGGGCGGGGGGUCCAGGCCCUGUGGGCGCUAUGGGAGCGCCAGGGUCCCCAGCCGCGAGGCAGCCACCGGGGAGACUCGAGAUGUGUGGACCCCAGGACGUCUGGAGCCGCCAGGUGACCCUGAGCGCCCCUCCCCGGGGAGGGCCCGUGCCGCCCGCAGUGCCGCCUCGCUCCUCCUUUUGCCUUUGCUUGGGGAGAGAAAGCCCGGGACUUCCUUGCCUGGGGUGAGGCGGCCCCCACUGGCGCGGCGGACGCUAGUGAGAAGCGGUGUCAACUAAAGAAAAGACUCGCAGUGAAAACAACUGGGUUACCUUUCCUCGGAAGUCUUCCUGAGGACGGCACAGCAGGCCGGCCGCUCCUUCCAGACUCAGCGCCGGCCUGCGCAAUCUCGCCCGGGUUUGGGUGGAGAGCGCAGACGGCUUUGAUGCCAGUUUUUCGUCUUCUGUGGAAGCUGUGACCCGGGCAGGAGACGGCCCGUGCUGGUCCUGCGCUGCGUCCUGGAGCAUCCUCAGAGCGGCUGUGCACACAGCCAGGGGCCGGGACCAGGCGUCCUCCUAGCCUUUUGCUUGGCCUCACAGCUGCAGAGACGGCAAGAAUGGUGACCGUUGCUUCAGAGUCCUUUGGUUCUGAAUAACUCAUCUCAUUGACAGUGUGGUUUUUAGGAAUUGGUUGUGUUCACUGAGGAGUUGUGGCAAAGUGAGGAAAACCUAACCCAUCCUUAGUUCCCAAAUGUGAGUGUUUUAAACUAUGUAACAGCUAACGAAACUGACAAAUUGAUACAGCUUAUGGACAUUGAAUUUUGAUUCUGCCAUGCCCUCAUUUUAGAGCCGGUAACAUAUCUUGAUUUUUCUCCCCGUAGCUCAAAUAUCUUCCAGGCUCCUGCACGGCCUGAGCUGUAACUCCGCACCCAGGAGACCCUGGGGUGAGAAGGAAGGGGAGGGCCUCAGAUGAGAAUGUAGUUUUGGUGUUUUCAGUUUAUACAAAAAGCCCUGGCAUUUUCCCGACAACACAGAGCAAACACACCGGCAGAAUGAAGCCCAGAGGCUGCCUGGUGAAGUGGGCGGCACGCUUGAAAAUCUGCGUGUGUGGAGUGGCUUGGUUCCAUCUUCCGGGAGCGUGCAAGGCCCUUUCAGGCGCUGCGGGAGCCUCGCCUUCUGCCCAGGCUUCGGAGCCAGGUGCUGGAGCCUCAGCAACAGAGGGGCAUGGAUGUCUUUGCACUUUUCCCGUAUGUUUUUCAGACGUUACUGAUCUGAUUUUCAGUACAGUGGCGGGAUCAGCAUUGAAGAACUGGGAGCGGCUGUGAGCCGACUUCCUGCAAGUGGUUGAGAAGUGGGCUUUGUGUAUUAACCGCCCCUGUGCUUAUCGGCGGCUCAGCCCUGGCGGUGCUGCUCCUGGCCUGCCGGAGCUACCUUCCCUUAGAAACAAUGCUGCCUCCAACUGCUAGUUAGCUGUGGCUUCCACAGGAGAAGCCAAGGCAGGCUCGUGUUUUCACAGCUAGGAAGGACAUGGGCCUGGCAGGGAGCUGCAGCACAGCCUCUGGCAACACAGAAGCACAGCUGUGUGUGACCCUUGCCUGCCACUCAUGUGCCCAGCAACCAGAGCGGUGGCCUCACAUGAGCUCUUCAGCGAUGCAGGUUGCAACUAGGCUCCACGCCUCAAUUGGCCCAAUAGUAACGAAAGAAAUGAGGAGUGUCGUGAAUCCUUAGGAGUCCACAUACUUAAGCUCAAAUUAGAGCCGCCCAGCCCUACAUGUUAUGACAAAGCGGCUGUUUUGUGGGGGCCUGUAUCACUCCCCUGGAUGUGGGAGCACCAGCAUCUGGGAGGUGACGGGAGGUCAGGGCCUCUGGGAUCUGGAGACCCAGGGAGACCAGCUUUGGGGUCAGGAGGCCUGCUUCUGCCCAGCAGUUCACGAUUCCCUCCAAGGCAGCUGAGGCUUGGAGCUGCGGCAGGGCCUACCGGGCCAGAGGCAGAAGGGAGCCCUCAGUCCCAGGCAGCGUCCUGGUGGGUGUAUGUCCUGUGCCAGACGAUGGUCAUAGAGGCUGAGAAAGGAAAGGACCCCAGUCUGCCUCUGGUGGCCUGAGGAAUGGAGGAGACAGUGAAAGGCCCAAGACAAGUGAUGCAGGAGUUUCCAGAGUGCAGGGUAAUACGGCACGAGAAACACCGGCCCCCAACUCCCAUCAGGGAGCCAUGCAGCCUCUGCAGGUGCUGAGAGGUUACAGGGCUCUGGUACCAGCCCCAUUCCUCCUGAACAGGCGAAGUUGAUCCACAUCCCCCCCCCCGCCCCCACCCAGCUCUUGUGCUCUAUGACUUCAGAAUACACAAAGCUGUGUCCACAGGUCUUAGCAUCUGUGAGCCCCUCGUCUGCACUGGAGGGUCCCCAGCUGGCACCAGUGCCAGGACAGAGUCCCUCUCCUGACCUGACUUCUGUACCUCCUCACCCACCUCUAGCACUGUCUUGCUAAGGCUUUCUCAGCACAGCACCCAUCUCAAGUCCCCAGCACCCACACCCCAGUGAUCCCCUGCACCCACACCCCAGUGAGUCCCCAGCACCCACACCCCAGUGAGUCC
Long non-coding RNA from Sapajus apella (tufted capuchin), 2733 nucleotides. RefSeq lists it as uncharacterized. The record is from RefSeq and is a predicted model, not a curated record. The transcript is spliced from 3 exons. Lineage: Eukaryota; Metazoa; Chordata; Mammalia; Primates; Cebidae.